Molecule: long non-coding RNA, 275 nt
Organism: Dunckerocampus dactyliophorus (ringed pipefish)
Lineage: Eukaryota; Metazoa; Chordata; Actinopteri; Syngnathiformes; Syngnathidae
Exons: 3
Source: RefSeq, a predicted model, not a curated record
GCAACGGCAGAAAAUAAGUCUGAAAAAGCUCACAAACACGUUGUUUUUGCUCUAAAACGUCUGAGCCUAGGGGUAUUUUAGUCUUUUUAGCACACGCGGACAUGCACGGCAAAGAAAGCUUCACUAAAGCAAGAAAAUCCCGCCCAGCGAUUGACUAGCGACCAGUCCAGGGUGUACCCCGCCCCUCUCCUCAAAACAGCUGGGAUAGGCUCCAGCAUGCCCUCGUGACCCUAGUGAGGACAAAGCGGCAUAGAAGAUCUUCUCAGUCCCCUAAA